Oreochromis niloticus (Nile tilapia) is the source of this 1279-nucleotide long non-coding RNA. RefSeq lists it as uncharacterized. The record is from RefSeq and is a predicted model, not a curated record. The transcript is spliced from 2 exons. Lineage: Eukaryota; Metazoa; Chordata; Actinopteri; Cichliformes; Cichlidae.
UCAUCAGCAGCCUUGUGGAGAUUUUUUUAGCUUGCAGAUGCUUCAGGUUCAAAAGCUCCUAAAAGGCUAAUAUUUCUAUUAUUGUUGACAGAAAAUAAUAUGAAAACGUCCACAAUCUAAAGGUCAUUGUCUGUGCCAGCUAGCUAGCUUGCGUUGUUAGUGACACAAACAUAGGACUGGAAUAGGCUUACAUAACACUAGAGGGAAAUAUGCUAAUUCAAUAUUAGUCAAUAGUAAUGGUAAUAGUAAUAACUGAUUUAUGUUGCUAACCCAGUAAAGUCUAACUGUAACAUUCCAAGAAGGUUUUACAAAACGUUCUACAAAAAACUAUUAUUGUAGAGUUUUUAUAGCUGCUGUUGUGAUUUGGUGCUAUAUGAAUAAAUGAUUUGAAUGACAGUUACAAAGUUACAAACAGCUGUCUUGUUACAAUACCAGCACACAAAUUGCACUGUAAGCCAUCAUUCGGAGCCCUAUUUCUUGUCUUUCAUACGCUGACUUUGCUUUAAGAUCUGCUUUAGAAGUUAGCUAGUUGCUAACUCUAUCGGUUGUCUGCUAGUGGGUACACAUAUAGCUCUUUCCCUAAAAAGAGAAAACAGCCGUGGCUGAAACCAAGUUUCUGAGAGCAGUAAGUGAAGCACAGCUGACUGCAGGUUCUACUUUGGUAAAAGCACGUCAACGCAGAAAUGCCAUAACGGCCACCAGAUGGCGAUAGCUGUAGUUGCAAAAAGACUUGACCUCUGUUAAACACUUUCUUGAUAACUUUUUUUUGGCCUUUAUUGAAUACAAAAAUAAUGUCUCUUUUGGAAAUAUAAGUAAUCCUAUGCUUCAACAAGGAGGGUUCAACUUGGUUCUACUUGCUCAUUGGCUAAUGAUGCUGAUAAGCCAAUGAGCAAGCAGACCCGCCCCUCCUCAUGACAUGUUAUUGUUGUCUGUUUGUUUUUUUCAAACCACGGUGGCCAUGGUAAAACAAACUAAUCCUAAGGCUUCAAAACAAGAGCUCAGAAACCAGUGGACGACGUCAGUGUCCAUCUAUUAUAUCGUUUGUUCUGUGCACCUCUAAGAAAGACAGGGGAGUUAUUUAAUAGUUAUAAACUAAAUGGAGUAAAUCACUCGCCACUCACCCCUGAAGCUCGUCGUCAGAUGGCGUGUACUUUGCGGUGAUGUCAGCCAGCUCUCCAAAGAUCUGGCCACUGUAGAUAGUGAGGCAGGAGAGCAGGAUGAGCUCCUGCCAGGUGGAGCUGAGCAGGCAGGUGUAGUCCUCUAUGGAGAGCUCACAGAA